RNAcentral lists this long non-coding RNA (216 nucleotides) under Elaeis guineensis (African oil palm). RNAcentral's name for it is "long non-coding RNA (EGUI_LNC034363)". The record is from RNAcentral. Lineage: Eukaryota; Viridiplantae; Streptophyta; Magnoliopsida; Arecales; Arecaceae.
UCUCAGAGUUCGCCUCGAUGCCUCACUUCAUCACCAUAAAAUCAAGAAACUUUCUCGACGUGAUGCCAAAGGCGCACUUAGUUGAAUUUAGUUUCAUCCGAUGUCUCCUCAGAGCGUCAAAAGUUUCUGCCAGAUCAUCGAUAUGGAGAGCAACUUUCUUGCUCUUCAUGAGCAUGUCGUCGACGUAGACCUUCAUGUUACGAUUGAUCUAGUUCU